Molecule: unclassified non-coding RNA, 246 nt
Filed under: Pleosporales sp.
Lineage: Eukaryota; Fungi; Ascomycota; Dothideomycetes; Pleosporales
Description: partial contains 5.8S ribosomal RNA, internal transcribed spacer 2, and large subunit ribosomal RNA
Source: RNAcentral
CGCACAUUGCGCCCUUUGGUAUUCCUUAGGGCAUGCCUGUUCGAGCGUCAUUGAAACCCUCAAGCUCUGCUUGGUGUUGGGCGUCUGUCCCCGCCUCUGGCGCGGACUCGCCUCGAAGACAUUGGCGGUCGGUGCAUCGGCCAGGGAGCGCAGCACAAACGCGCUGCCCCGCCCUCGUGCCUUCCCCCCAGGAAGCCAAACCCACGUCUUGACCUCGGAUCAGGUAGGGAUACCCGCUGAACUUAA